RNAcentral lists this ribosomal RNA (468 nucleotides) under uncultured bacterium. Its description in RNAcentral is "partial 16S ribosomal RNA". It matches the Rfam family "Bacterial small subunit ribosomal RNA", at positions 28 to 507 of the family's 1533-position model. The record is from RNAcentral.
GACGAACGCUGGCGGCGUGCUUAACACAUGCAAGUCGAACGGAAAGGCCCUGCUUUUGUUGGGUUCUCUAGUGGCGAACGGAUGAGUAACACGUGAGUAACCUGCCCUUGACUUUGUGAUAACUUCAGGAGACUGGGGCUAAUACAGAAUAUGAGCUCCUGCUACAUGGUUUCGGUUGGAAAGUUUCGGCGGGGGGGGAUGGACUCGCGGCUUAUCAGCUUGUUGGUGGGGUAGUGGCUUACGAAGGCUUUGACGGGUAUCAGCCAUGAGAGGGUGACCGGCAACAUUGGGACAGAGCUACGGCCCAGACUACUACGGGAGGCAGCAGAGGGGAAUAUAGUACGAUGGGCGGAAGCCUGAUGAAGCAACGACGCGCGCGGGAUGAUGGCCUUCGGGUUGUAAACCGGUUUCCCCUGUGACGAAGCGCGAGUGACGGUAAUGGGUAAAGAAGCACCGGCUAACUACGUG